Molecule: non-coding RNA, 420 nt
Organism: Cinara cedri
Lineage: Eukaryota; Metazoa; Arthropoda; Insecta; Hemiptera; Aphididae
Source: the annotation of a GenBank genome assembly
GUGCGUACAAAAUGUUUCCUGUAAACAAUAAACGUGUUAUUAGUUACUUAACUACACUUAAUUUCACGACAACACAAUAAAUAAAUAGUCUCACGAUCACUUGUAAAUUUAUUUGAAAGUGAAAGUUUAUUCCAAACAUUUGGUUAUAAUGUCAUAUAAAUAUUUGAUGUGUGACAUAGUAUCCUCUUAAGAGAAUGGCAUGCCCUCACGACGUACUGUCUCCGUUAUACAACCGCGAGAAUGCGAGAAAAUAAAAAAAUUUUGUUCAGCAGGGAGAACUUCGUGCUUUUAGUUUUAAAAUUAGAGUAAAUUAACCUAUUAUCUGUGUCAUCUCGUCAUCUAAGAAAUAAUGUUUAUAAUUAUUUAAAAAUUUUCAUACGUAAACAUGGAUAAAAAUUUUAUUUUGCUAGUUGAAGUUAA